This 253-nucleotide ribosomal RNA is filed under the name uncultured bacterium. RNAcentral's name for it is "partial 16S ribosomal RNA". It matches the Rfam family "Bacterial small subunit ribosomal RNA", at positions 524 to 776 of the family's 1533-position model. The record is from RNAcentral.
UACGGAGGGUGCGAGCGUUGUUCGGAAUUACUGGGCGUAAAGCGUGCGCAGGCGGUUCGUUAAGUCAGAUGUGAAAUCCCCGGGCUUAACCUGGGAAUUGCAUUUGUGACUGCACGGCUAGAGUGUGUCAGAGGGGGGUAGAAUUCCACGUGUAGCAGUGAAAUGCGUAGAUAUGUGGAGGAAUACCGAUGGCGAAGGCAGCCCCCUGGGAUAACACUGACGCUCAUGCACGAAAGCGUGGGGAGCAAACAGG